This 128-nucleotide small nuclear RNA is filed under the name Trialeurodes vaporariorum (greenhouse whitefly). RNAcentral's name for it is "U11 spliceosomal RNA". It matches the Rfam family "U11 spliceosomal RNA". Lineage: Eukaryota; Metazoa; Arthropoda; Insecta; Hemiptera; Aleyrodidae. The record is from RNAcentral.
UAAAAGGGUGCUUGCUCUUAUGGCAUACAAGGUCUUAUGUACUUUGUAGAGUAUGGCCAUCAAGACAUACUCAGCACAUAAUUUUUGAAACGGGGAGCUGUUAGGUGCCUAUAUGCACUGGCGCUCCU